RNAcentral lists this ribosomal RNA (220 nucleotides) under uncultured bacterium. Its description in RNAcentral is "partial 16S ribosomal RNA". It matches the Rfam family "Bacterial small subunit ribosomal RNA", at positions 524 to 744 of the family's 1533-position model. The record is from RNAcentral.
UACGUAGGAGGCGAGCGUUGUCCGGAGUACUGGGCGUAAAGCGCACGCAGGCGGUCAGAUCAGUCUGGAGUGACAGUCGUCGGCUUAACCGACGAAGUGUUCUGGAAACUGUCUGACUUGAGGGCUUCAGAGGGACACGGAAUUCCGGGUGGAGUGGUGAAAUGCGUAGAUAUCCGGAGGAACACCAAUGGCGAAGGCAGUGUCCUGGGAAGUACCGUGG